This 252-nucleotide ribosomal RNA is filed under the name uncultured prokaryote. RNAcentral describes it as "partial 16S ribosomal RNA". It matches the Rfam family "Bacterial small subunit ribosomal RNA", at positions 524 to 776 of the family's 1533-position model. The record is from RNAcentral.
UACGUAGGGGGCGAGCGUUGUCCGGAUUUACUGGGCGUAAAGGGUGAGUAGGCGGUUAUAUAUGUCAGAUGUAAAAGGCGCAGGCUUAACUUGUGUAAGCAUUUGAAACUGUAUAACUUGAGAGCAGGAGAGGUAAGCGGAAUUCCUAGUGUAGCGGUGAAAUGCGUAGAUAUUAGGAGGAACACCAGUGGCGAAGGCGGCUUACUGGACUGUAACUGACGCUGAGUCACGAAAGCGUGGGUAGCAAACAGG